GACGAACGCUGGCGGCGUGCUUAACACAUGCAAGUCGAACGAUGAUGCCCAGCUUGCUGGGUGGAUUAGUGGCGAACGGGUGAGUAACACGCGAGUAACCUGCCCCUGACUCUGGGAUAAGCGUUGGAAACGACGUCUAAUACUGGAUAUGACUGCCGGCCGCAUGGUCUGGUGGUGGAAAGAUUUUUUGGUUGGGGAUGGACUCGCGGCCUAUCAGCUUGUUGGUGAGGUAAUGGCUCACCAAGGCGACGACGGGUAGCCGGCCUGAGAGGGUGACCGGCCACACUGGGACUGAGACACGGCCCAGACUCCUACGGGAGGCAGCAGUGGGGAAUAUUGCACAAUGGGCGAAAGCCUGAUGCAGCAACGCCGCGUGAGGGAUGACGGCCUUCGGGUUGUAAACCUCUUUUAGUAGGGAAGAAGGGAGCUUGCUCUUGACGGUACCUGCAGAAAAAGCACCGGCUAACUACGUGCCAGCAGCCGCGGUAAUACGUAGGGUGCAAGCGUUGUCCGGAAUUAUUGGGCGUAAAGAGCUCGUAGGCGGUUUGUCGCGUCUGCUGUGAAAUCCCGAGGCUCAACCUCGGGCUUGCAGUGGGUACGGGCAGACUAGAGUGCGGUAGGGGAGAUUGGAAUUCCUGGUGUAGCGGUGGAAUGCGCAGAUAUCAGGAGGAACACCGAUGGCGAAGGCAGAUCUCUGGGCCGUAACUGACGCUGAGGAGCGAAAGCAUGGGGAGCGAACAGGAUUAGAUACCCUGGUAGUCCAUGCCGUAAACGUUGGGCGCUAGAUGUAGGGACCUUUCCACGGUUUCUGUGUCGUAGCUAACGCAUUAAGCGCCCCGCCUGGGGAGUACGGCCGCAAGGCUAAAACUCAAAGGAAUUGACGGGGGCCCGCACAAGCGGCGGAGCAUGCGGAUUAAUUCGAUGCAACGCGAAGAACCUUACCAAGGCUUGACAUACACCGGAAACGGCCAGAGAUGGUCGCCCCCUUGUGGUCGGUGUACAGGUGGUGCAUGGUUGUCGUCAGCUCGUGUCGUGAGAUGUUGGGUUAAGUCCCGCAACGAGCGCAACCCUCGUUCUAUGUUGCCAGCGCGUUAUGGCGGGGACUCAUAGGAGACUGCCGGGGUCAACUCGGAGGAAGGUGGGGAUGACGUCAAAUCAUCAUGCCCCUUAUGUCUUGGGCUUCACGCAUGCUACAAUGGCCGGUACAAAGGGCUGCGAUACCGUAAGGUGGAGCGAAUCCCAAAAAGCCGGUCUCAGUUCGGAUUGAGGUCUGCAACUCGACCUCAUGAAGUCGGAGUCGCUAGUAAUCGCAGAUCAGCAACGCUGCGGUGAAUACGUUCCCGGGCCU
RNAcentral lists this ribosomal RNA (1348 nucleotides) under uncultured bacterium. RNAcentral's name for it is "bacterial SSU rRNA". It matches the Rfam family "Bacterial small subunit ribosomal RNA", at positions 28 to 1381 of the family's 1533-position model. The record is from RNAcentral.